This is a non-coding RNA of Kluyvera ascorbata ATCC 33433, 51 nucleotides long. Lineage: Bacteria; Pseudomonadati; Pseudomonadota; Gammaproteobacteria; Enterobacterales; Enterobacteriaceae. The record is from Rfam.
AAAAUAAUGACCCUCACCGGUCAGGGCUAACUGCUGCCUGAAGAAAGGUAA